UACGUAUGGGGCAAGCGUUAUCCGGAUUUACUGGGUGUAAAGGGAGCGCAGGCGGCCUGGCAAGCCUGAUGUGAAAUACCGGGGCCCAACCCCGGGGCUGCAUUGGGAACUGCCAGGCUGGAGUGCAGGAGAGGUAAGUGGAAUUCCUAGUGUAGCGGUGAAAUGCGUAGAUAUUAGGAGGAACACCAGUGGCGAAGGCGGCUUACUGGACUGUAACUGACGUUGAGGCUCGAAAGCAUGGGGAGCGAACAGG
RNAcentral lists this ribosomal RNA (253 nucleotides) under uncultured bacterium. RNAcentral describes it as "partial 16S ribosomal RNA". It matches the Rfam family "Bacterial small subunit ribosomal RNA", at positions 524 to 776 of the family's 1533-position model. The record is from RNAcentral.